GUAAAAAUUCUCUAUUCUAAAAGCAGCUACUCUAACAAUAAGAAAGCUUAAGUUAGCUCAUGGCCGCUGCAUUAGAGUGAACAAAACAGGUGAGCUGCUUUCGAGUAUACUAAUAAAUUUCGACUCGUCACGUUUCUCUUCUGCUGAUAUUUCCCGAAAAUGGCGAGCACAAGUACCGCCAGCACGAGUCAAAGCGAAAUCGCGCUGAAAACAUGGGAGCUGAGUAACAACAUUGAAAGCGUGAACACGAUGGACGAAGUGUACCGCUACGACGAAAACCAGCAGAAAGACAUCCAGUCAGCCAAACCAUGGGAUAAAGACGUUUACUUCUUCAAAGACAUCCGCAUCUCAGCUCUAGCACUGCUGAAAAUGGUGAUGCACGCCCGUUCCGGAGGCACCCUCGAGGUGAUGGGUCUACUCGUCGGCAAGGUGGACGGCAACACGAUGGUGGUGAUGGACUCGUUCGCCCUGCCGGUGGAAGGCACAGAAACCAGGGUCAACGCGCAGGCCCAGGCCUACGAGUACAUGACCCAGUACAUGGAGUCGGCAAAGAAGGUGGGCCGGCUGGAGAACGCCAUCGGCUGGUACCACAGCCACCCUGGCUACGGCUGCUGGCUCAGCGGCAUUGACGUCUCCACGCAAAUGCUCAACCAGAAUUUCCAGGAGCCAUUUGUCGCGAUUGUGAUCGAUCCGGUGAGGACCAUUUCAGCUGGCAAAGUCAACCUGGCCGCCUUCAGGACUUACCCCAAGGGUUACAAGGCUGCCAAUGACGAGCCCUCAGAGUACCAGACCAUCCCCCUGAACAAGAUUGAAGAUUUUGGUGUGCACUGCAAGCAGUAUUACGCGCUGGACGUAACUUAUUUCAAGUCGAGUCUGGACAGGAAGCUGCUCGAUUCACUGUGGAACCGCUACUGGGUCAACACACUUGGUUCCUCAUCUCUUCUCACUAACGCUGACUACACAACAGGCCAAAUCUUUGAUCUGUCGGAUAAGCUGGAGCAGGCGGAGAACGCGCUCGGAAGGAGCAGUUACAUGAUGUUGGAUCCGCACGACAAGCGGACCGAGGACAAACUGUCCAAGGCGACCAAGGACAGCUGCAAGACGUCCAUCGAGGUCAUCCACGGCCUCGUGGCGCAGGUCAUCAAGGACAGGCUGUUUAACUACCCCAGCAACUCUUGCAACCCAAACCAAAACAAGGCUUGAAUUAAAAUGCGUAUUUCCCGCAUUUAAGGCACUUCAUGGACUUGCCCACCUGGGAAUCAAAGCUUCUGUGCGGCUGGUAUCGCAACGUUUCGUCUGGCCUGGCCUCAGGAAGAACGUCAUUGCCUGGACUCGGGCCUGCAAAGACUGCCAACUCUCUAAGGUCUCUCGGCACGUAACGACUCCGUGGCAGACUCACCCCCUCCCUGAAGCUCGAUUCGCAGUUCUCAACCUGGACUUGAUUGGCCCACUCCCACCAGCUAACGGAUACAAAUACUGCCUAACCAUCGUGGACCGCUUCACUCGUUGGUGUGAGGCAAUACCUUAAGAAGACGCAACCGCUGACCACACGAUAGCUUGCCACUCGUCCUUCAUGGUCUCCGCUGCCUCUACAAGGAAGACAUUAAAGCGACCCCUGCAGAACUCGUCUACGGUGAACCCCUGCGUCUGCCUGGCGAAUUUCUUGCAAAAACCGAUUUCGAUGACAUCAGCGCCUCUGAGCUGCUGCGUCAGCUUCGGCAAAACUUCUCCACACUCCGCCCCGUUCCUGCUGCUCACCACGCUAAAGCCAAAGUCUUCAUCUUCAAAGACUUGGACACCGCACCCAUGGUCUACCUUAGAACAGACGCGGUUCGGACAUCGCUACAGCCUCCGUACACUGGCCCGUACGAGGUGCUGGCGAAGACCGAGAAAACUUUUACUCUUCGGAUCAAAGAGAAGGAAGUCGUGGUCUCUAAGGAUCGCCUCAAACCCGCAUACAGUCUGCCUGACGACACACCAACCGUCCACACUCAGAGACCAUCUCGGCAGACUCAGCCACGGUUACCUCCACCGUUACCUCCACCGCCACUUCCACGUCCUGAGGUUGUAAUCAGAUCAGGUCGGCGUGUACGAUUUUUGGACCGUUAUCAAGCGUGACAUCCUGUCUAAAACAAGUUCUAAACUUUGUACCCUUUCUCUUUAUAUUGGAUAAAGGAGGUAAGCUAGCAUCGAGUGUGCACGCAAAGAAUCUGUCUCUGCUGUAUUCCUGCCUCCGGGCGUUGUUUCAGGUUUUGGGCCGGCGAGCCCACUGGCAAAGCUUCUUUGUCGCCCCCGCCGACCUUGUCGCGCGGAGGCGUCCCUGAAUACUGCCCAGUUGAUUGGAAAAUAGCUAAAUUAGUUUUCCCAUUGACGUAAGCCCAAUCACUGGAGGAAUUUCUAAAGAGCUGGUUACGUAGAAGUGACGAGGAUUCCAUAAAAACCCCUAGGGAGCAGCGCUGAAUUUCGACUACCACCUGGACCAUUUCAAAUGCUAGAGAUGCCACCCUCUUUAUGCUUUUAUUGUGACAAAGCCGGCCGCAAGAACGCCGUAUUUAUCAGAUGCAACGAUUGCCUGCUGGAAUUUCACAGAACGAUCCUCCUCAAAUACACAAAAAUGAGCGAGAAAGAGGUUAACGAUUACAAAAAGAAGAAUAAUUUUAGCUGCUGGCCCUGCUCUUUGCCAAUGAUGAAUGAUUCCUUCUGGAGCGUUCCCGAGCCGCUGCGUCCAACUCGAGCGAGUAGUUCCCAGCAGCAUCAAAACAAUAAAAAAUCAGCUGCAAUUUUGUGCUUUAACGCGCGGUCACUAAAAAACAGGAAAAGAGCUGCUGACAUUGCUGGUCUUCUCGAGUGUCAUCCUGCGGACGUUCUAGCUAUUAUAACGAGACAUGGUUGUCGCCUGAUAUCUUUGACCACGAGGUGAUCCCGACAGACUACGUUGUGAUGCGAAAGGACUGAACUGGCGGCCGUAGACCAGCAGGCGGUGUCCUGCUGGCCAUUCUUCCACACCUUCUGCGGCGCCGACAGACACAGCUCGGGACCACUGCUGAGGCCGUUUGGGGCGAGGUGACGGUCUCGAAUUUGCGUUUCCUCAUCGCCUCGGUGUACAGAGCACCAAACAGAACGCCGGAGCAAAACGAUGAGCUGCUUCGCUCGCUUGCGCUGGCCGCCGAGCAGCAGCACAAUUAAGACGAGUGCUUUGUCAUGGGCGAUUUCAAUUUGGACGUAGACUGGAACACUGAGACGCCGCUGCCGAGAGCUGCACCUGCUGAACAAUUCGUCGACGCCUUUGAUAAUUUCGCCUUUGCGCAGCUGAUAAAAAAACGCAACGAGAACCACGGCCACGAGCGAGAAGACCAUCGACUUGUUCCUGUGCGACACGCCGAAUCUAGUCUCCACGAGCGAGGUUAUCGCCGGCGUUAGCGACCACGACGCGUUGUUGAUCGGCCUCAAGGUGGACCCCCGCCGCCCGCCACCUGUGUCUAUGACACUUCCGGACUGGCGGCGCGCCCACUGGCCGGCUCUCAACGACCAACUCGCGGUGAAGCUGCAAGAAGUGACGCAAGAAGAUGACCUCUUUAAAGCCUGGACAGCCUGGAAGACAGCGCUGUUCGAAUGCGUCGAGGAGUGUGUGCCAACCAGAAGGACGCGAUCUAAGAGGAAGCUGCUCCCCUGGCUCGAUAAAAAUUUAAAAAAGUUAAUAAAAAUUAAAGAUGAUCUGUUCGCGCAGUGGAGGAGCGAGAAAACCAAUGAGGCAAGAAGCAUUUUUGAGACGGCGAGAAAGGCGACCCAAGGCGCUGUCAGACUGGCUAAAGACUGUGAUGGUUUUGGAAUCUCGGCCGUGGACCACAAGGGGCAGCUGUGUUCUGGAAAUUCAUUUAUUCUAAAUCAAAAGUGCCGAUUAACACGACUACUUUUUCAGCUGACGGCCGUAUUUUCAGUGAGCCUGCAGCCGUCGCUAGCCAAUUUCUCGCCACUUUCAAGCAGAACUUCUCGCCACUGAUUUUCCGUUCGUGCGCCGCGCGCCCGUCCAAAAUGAGAAGAUGAGCAAGCUGCAUAUCACGGCGAGCGAGGUCAGCGCCUUGCUGCACGUCCUGGACGCCAAAAGUGCCGCAGGACCGGACGGCAUCCCUGCAGUGCUGCUCAAAAACUGCGCUGAGACGAUCUGCCCCAGCCUCGCCCACAUUUUCAACCUUUCGCUGCGGACACGCGACUUGCCGGCCGACUGGAAGGGUGCAGCGGUGACGCCGAUCCCAAAAGAAGGUAACAAAAAUGAUUUCAAUAAUUACCGCCCCAUCAGCGUCACCUCGCUCGUUGGAAAACUCUUGGAGAAGCACGUCCGCAACCAGCUUGCAGCCUUCUUUGAGAGGAUAAAUUCCCUGCCAGACUGCCAGCACGGCUUCCGCGAGCGGCGCUCGUGCACGACAAUGUUGCUGAAAACCCUGGACAACUGGACUGCGGCCCUCGACAGCAACAGCGGGCAACACGUGUAGUGCUUUGCGCGGGUCGCGGGUUUGAGGGUUGAACCCGCAAAACCCGCACCAAACCCACGGGUGCGGGUCAAGAUUUUGCAAAUCCAAUAUGGCGGAUUGCGGGUGCGGGUUGGCGUAGUGCGGUUUGGUGCGGGUUCAAAUUUUGAAAAAAGAUCUGGGUGAGGUUUGGGUGCGGUACGAAAUAAGCGGGUUCGGUCCGGGUUUGGGUUGAAAAUUUGUACCCGCGCUAGGGUUCGGUAUAUCAACCUUGAUAUAUCAAUUUUGAUAUGAUAUUUUAAAUAUCAUAUAUAUGAUAUUUUAAAUAUCAUAUCAAUAGUAUCAUCGUUGAUAUUUUGAAUAUCAGAAAAUAUCAGCUGAUAUUUCUGAAAAAUAUCUGAUAUAUCAUGAUAUUUUGGUGUAAAAUAUCAAUAUCAUCGAAGAUAUUUAGAAUAUCAUAUCAAUAUCAGAUUUUUGAUAUCGUUUUUGGCGCAAGUACCGAUCCCUAACCCGCGCAAAGCACUACCGUGCAGGGCUCUAUUAGUUGUGUCGUCGGUGGUGUCAUUUGUAUGACAAAAAUAAUAAAAAUUAUUUGUAUAAGUAACAUUUUCCCGCUUUUUCCAAGAAACUUUGGUAAUAUUUAAGUAAAUUACUUGGCCAAUAUUUUUAAUAAUAGAAAGAAAAACUGAAAAAAUAUUGAAAAUGCAUGAAAUUGGCACCAGAAAUUAGCCUUCUCAAAACAGUCUAAAUCACCAAAAACCGUCUAAAAAACAGUCUUUUUGAGGGCAAAAAGCGUCUAAAAAUAGUCGACUAUUUUGUACAAAAAAACAGUCUAAGUUUCCCAACCCUAUUUAUGUGUCUAACCUUAUUAAUUAAUUAUUAACCUUAUUAGAUUAAUAUUAAAAUUAUUAUUUUCUAUAUGAAAAGGAGCCUCUGCCAAUAUUCCAGCAGGUAAAGGUGGUAAAUGAAAUUUCAACGGGCUCCUCCUCGGAAGAACUAGAACUAUAGACACGACGGACACGGACAUCGAGGCAGUCACCUCCGUCGCUGCCCAAACUGUGGUCAAGCGCACCAGAGGCAAACCUACUAAAACAACUGCAACUGCUCAGGUUAAGCAGAUGAAAAUGUCGGAAGAAGAUGACCCUGAUGCCCCGCCAGGGUGCAAAUGAGUGACUUGGAAAUUAUACGCGAGCGAAACAUCUCCAUGAGGAAGAACAUGAUCAGAGACAUUGGCCUGCUGGACGCCAAGGAGGGGUUUGAAGAGACCCUGAAGAAGAGGCAGUAGAAUAAAGGCUAGGAAAAUGUUGUUGACGUGGCACUUCCUGUCACCAGAGAGAGCAGGUCUCUUCGGCAAACAGAGGCUGCCGCCGCCGCCACCGAGUCUCCUGCCACUUUGAAGAGCAAGGAUUUGCUAGGCGAAACUCAAUCCCUGAACCAAUGCCUGGCUGCCUUCUCCAAUUUGAAAGACCUGCAGAUGUUUAUCGAGACGGCGCAAUCGAUUGAAAAAGCCUCAUUUGCUGGAGACGUGGGCGAUUCAGAGCUGUCCUCCAUGCAAUUUCCCAUGAUGAAGUCGAGGCUGUGCACACUGCUCGAGACGGAGUUCUGCCUGCCCGAAAUCGCGUCCAGAUUCACCUCACUCGCCUUCCAUCUUUCCCGCUCUCCGCUGCUGCUGGCCGCGGAGGCAACAUAAGAUGGCUGCGUCUGCCUGUGGAGCUUUUGCCGAGAGAGCCUAGCAUGCUCGACAACCAGCUCUGAGCGUUUUUACUUGAACCAUAUAAUUUUAAAAUUGAAUUAAAUUUCCUGACCAAAACUAUAAAUACGAAUUUUCAGUUACAGUAAUUUUAUUUGAAUUAUUCUGUAACUAAAUAUUUUUGUUACCUAAUUAUUCUAAAAUUUCAAUAAUUAAAUUCUUUCGAGCAAAAUUGAAAUGUUAAAUUACCAAAUUUAAAAUUCUGCGAAUGAUAUAAGUUGGUAAAUCACAACUAACCAAGCCUGAUAUCAACAUGCCUUACAAGCUAUAGAUAAACAAGCAGCAAAAUUAUUCAAAUUGAAAAAUUUGGCCAGAUUUUUUUUUAGUUUAUUAAGGAAUUUGCUAUCUAGAGUUGUUUGGUAAACAUUUCUUCCAGCAUAUAAGCUAAUUGAUUACUUGGUCUAUAGUUAUAUUGUGCUUUAUUCUAAUUUAUGAUAGUAUAUAGGAACCCACUCCUAGAAAUGCAUAUCUGCAAAGUAUGCAAAAGAAAGCGGAGCCAGAACCAAACAUUAUCUGUCGGUGAGAAUCCAAGUCUGUUCAAAUUCCCAAAAAAUGGGGACCUUUUUAAUCUCUGGAGUAGUGCGUUCGCCGGGACGGGAAUGUCUCAGGACUCCCGGAAUCUCCCGGGAAUUCCCGGCGCCAGGAGCCAAAUUUUUAGAAGGGAGUCACGGUCGGGACGGGAGCGGGAAAGUUUUGCCGGGAGCGGAAAUUCCCGGGAACCUAGUCAAAAUUCAAAUUCACAACUCGCUUUUAAUUUUCAUAGAAUGAUUAAAAAAAUUGUUAGGAAUGUUUUUUAUAUUAGAUAUUUUUCACGGUUUGAUAACUUUAUUAACUGUCCUAAUUUCAAUUUGCGGAGUUCAAGCAGUAAUAUUUCUUUUUUGUCAUUCACUAUUACUAAAAAUGUUACAUAAUUUUCUUUCAUUGACAUGUGAUGAUUCUCGCAAUUAAAAAAAGUCGGGAGAAUAGUUUUUGAUCUAAAUAAAAUGCAUUUUUAUGGUUUGUUUUAGUAAUCUAUGCAUUUCUACAAAAAUUGAAUUUUAUUUGGAACGUAGUAUUUAUUUAACGUGGCCCAGUAAAAAUUGCCUCCUUGAGUUUUUAUACUUUCAACCCAAAGUAUUAUUUAUAACUUCAACAAGGAAAAAUAAAAGAGCAUAAUAUAGUGAGUUUGUAUUUGUAAAUAUGCGAGCUAAGAAUAAAGUUAUCAACGCA
Molecule: RNA transcript, 7425 nt
Organism: Cloeon dipterum
Lineage: Eukaryota; Metazoa; Arthropoda; Insecta; Ephemeroptera; Baetidae
Gene: CSN5
Gene name: COP9 signalosome subunit 5
Exons: 8
Source: RefSeq, a predicted model, not a curated record